CCGCCCCCCCGGACUCUCAGUCUGCAGAAGGGUCUCGACCACAAACGUCGCCUGUUCCUUGUUCUCCAGUGAUGCUGUCUGUCCCGCUCAGUGUAUGCCAAAUACCCUUUUAAAAAUUACUCAGGAAUCUCGUUGCAUCACCCGUUCAAGCAGCCACUUCCAGACGACUGGGACCUUGUCACUUACUUUGCUCCAAGCGUCACUGGGCUGAGAUCCAGCCUGUGCUUUGUCUUGUGGAGCAAGCUAUUCAACUUCAUUUCACCGAUGGAAGGGAGCAGCAGAGGUACAGCGAUGCAAAACAGCCCCAACUGAGGCGGAAGGGAGACACCAGACCGGUCUUUCUUUUUCUGUCCCUGGAGAUACUUCAGUCUGCCUUGGAACUUCAUCGUCUGUUGUGAGAAAGAUUAUUGUUUAAGUGAAAGCAAUGUGGAAUUAUGGAAGGAAGAGAGAACUAAGAUACAGAUCACCCUGAUCUAAUCAAACAAUAGAUGACCUACAAGGAGUGGACUGGAGAGAGAUUGAAGCGUGGAUUCCUGUGGAGGCAGCAAGAAGGAUGAGAUAGAGUUAGAAGGGCAAGAUUCAAAGGGGAAGAAGUACAGAAUCACAGCACAAAAACAGGCCCUUCUCUCAUUUAAAGAGAAAAAUGCUGCUUUUUUAAAACGAAAGCAUAUUUCACGUACAGUAAGUGGACCCACAAACUGCUACAUAUUGCCACCUCCAUCCCAUCCCCACAAGAGUUCUGCCAAAUCUCCGACCACAUGGAU
Long non-coding RNA from Leucoraja erinaceus (little skate), 764 nucleotides. RefSeq lists it as uncharacterized. The transcript has 3 exons. The record is from RefSeq and is a predicted model, not a curated record. NCBI's taxonomy places the organism in Eukaryota, Metazoa, Chordata, Chondrichthyes, Rajiformes, Rajidae.